RNAcentral lists this ribosomal RNA (253 nucleotides) under uncultured bacterium. RNAcentral's name for it is "partial 16S ribosomal RNA". It matches the Rfam family "Bacterial small subunit ribosomal RNA", at positions 524 to 776 of the family's 1533-position model. The record is from RNAcentral.
GACGAACCGUACGAACGUUAUUCGGAAUCAUUGGGCUUAAAGGGUGCGUAGGCGGUGCGGAAAGUUGGGUGUGAAAUCCCUCGGCUCAACCGAGGAAUUGCGCGCAAUACUACCGUGCUCGAGGGAGACAGAGGUAAGCGGAACUUAGGGUGGAGCGGUGAAAUGCGUUGAUAUCCUAAGGAACACCAGUGGCGAAAGCGGCUUACUGGGUCUCUUCUGACGCGGAGGCACGAAAGCUAGGGGAGCAAACGGG